RNAcentral lists this ribosomal RNA (492 nucleotides) under uncultured bacterium. RNAcentral describes it as "partial 16S ribosomal RNA". It matches the Rfam family "Bacterial small subunit ribosomal RNA", at positions 29 to 507 of the family's 1533-position model. The record is from RNAcentral.
AGUGAACGCUGGCGGUAGGCCUAACACAUGCAAGUCGAACGGCAGCACAGUAAGAGCUUGCUCUUACGGGUGGCGAGUGGCGGACGGGUGAGGAAUACAUCGGAAUCUACUUUUUCGUGGGGGAUAACGUAGGGAAACUUACGCUAGUACCGCAUACGACCUACGGGUGAAAGCAGGGGAUCUUCGGACCUUGCGCGAUUGAAUGAGCCGAUGUCGGAUUAGCUAGUUGGCGGGGUAUAGGCCCACCAAGGCGACGAUCCGUAGCUGGUCUGAGAGGAUGAUCAGCCACACUGGAACUGAGACACGGUCCAGACUCCUACGGGAGGCAGCAGUGGGGAAUAUUGGACAAUGGGCGCAAGCCUGAUCCAGCCAUACCGCGUGGGUGAAGAAGGCCUUCGGGUUGUAAAGCCCUUUUGUUGGGAAAGAAAAGCAGCAGGUUAAUACCCCGCUGUUCUGACGGUACCCAAAGAAUAAGCACCGGCUAACUUCGUG